Molecule: long non-coding RNA, 2175 nt
Organism: Equus caballus (horse)
Lineage: Eukaryota; Metazoa; Chordata; Mammalia; Perissodactyla; Equidae
Source: Ensembl
AUGUGGGGCCCAGUUCCUCCUCCCCUGACUCUGGGCUGGCCAGGAUGACUCGCUUGUAACCAACGGAAUACGGUGGAAGGGACACUGCCCGAGUCAGGCCAGGCCGGAGGCUAUGCAGAUCCGCCUGGCUCUCAUGGGACACCAGCUCUCUGGACACUCUAUCCCGGGAACCCCCCUCUCCAGAUGCUGCCGCCGUGCCGUGGGAAGCCCGAGCCGUGUGAGAGGCCACGUGGAGGUUCUGGUGACAGGCACAGCGGAGCCGGCCCGCUGAGUCCCUCAGCCCAGGACCCGACAUACAGGAGCAAGAGGAAGAGACCAGGAAUGGGGUCAUCUCACCCGGCGCUGUGGGCCCAGAUAGGAGGGGACCGGGCAGCGGGGCAGUCCAUCAACACCACCGUCCUCACCGUCAGAACUUGUCACCACACCUGCUGAGAGCCAGGCACCCCAUCUGCUCAGCCACGUUGUCUCCUCUGAGUCACCAGUGACCACGGGGCCAUCUGAGUCCACAGCAAGAGGCACAGGAGGAUCUUUGGAGUUUGGGGAAGGACAUUGGCAUUUUGCCCGAGAACACCUGCACAGGAUGCAUUCCCAGGCCCACACUCAGAGAAAACUGUGGGUGCCUUCCUAGCCUUGAGGCAGCUCACCCCAAAGGCCGUCUGAGAAGGAUGUUAGCCCACUGGCCCCCUUUCUGCGUGUUUAAGGAGAGUCAGCUGGGGCCUGCGUUUCUCCCGGCUGGCUGAGUGCUGUGAGUCGGUGCACCCUUACUGAACGCGCUGUGUCCUGACCACCCGCCUGGCUGCCCCAAUGGCCUCAGAGGUCAUGCAGGUGCCGAGGGUAGGGCACGCAGGGCGAGCUCUUGUGCAACCGGGUGCAAAGCCAUGGGUAGGAUGGAGAAAGGACGCUGGCAGUGUGCGCGGAGCAAAGGGGAUCAGAUGAUCUGACAGGGAAACCCGUUUAUGCAGGAAAUUCUCUCACCAAGCACUGAGGACAGAAACUCAAGGAGCCUCCUUCAUGCUAAUAUGCAGGCUUUGUGGAUUUCAGAAAUAAUUUAUGCUACAUUAUCUCGGCCACGGAUUCUAGAAAACAACUGAUGACAUUAGAAAAGUGGAAGCCUGUCUAAUGUGAUGAGGUGUUAAUGCAAAGACCGAAACCUUUCAUUCCAAGUUAAAAGCACAGAAGUGUGCCCUCAUUCGCCCAUAGUCCGAGGCAGGGAGCAGUCCUUUUCUUUGAGCGUGUGCCCUCUCGUAGGUGUUUCACUUCUCUUUGUCGCAUAACCACGUCCAAAAGUCACCUGUGAGAUUUCACGCGUCUGUGUAUUCAAAGGGCAGCGAGAAGGCGGAGGCAUCUCUGAAACGACCUGAGCACAGGAAACUUUUCUGCAUCUUGAGAUUCAUCGCUUAAAUAUUUCAGCUGCCUGGUCCACAUUUACUCGGAAGGCAAUGUGGGGGGACCCGCUUUUAUCAAAUCUUCCCCAAGCAUUCCAAGUAUUUUCCACAGGAACCGUCUUCCACUCAUGUCUCUCUGGCUGAGAGUAUGUUUCGUUGAAUCACACACUGACGGUCACAGACACGCACGAAGAGGAUUGGGAACUGACACUCGCUGCUUUGGGAGGCGCGUGUGGGUGGGUCAGCCCCUUUCAUGGAGGGAGGGCAGCGUCCUCCGAACCUUCCAGUCAGAACAGCCGCCGACUGAGUUUCCCAGCAACUCCUCCCUCCUGCCCUUCCAGGAGAAGAAUGGAGAUGCCCAACCAUAGAAAAUCCAAAUCCGUUUCCCCGUCUGCAAGAGGUGGCUGAGGACACGGUGCUCACCUCUCAGGAUUGUCCUGAUCACGAGGCAGCCGACACAUAUCAAGUCUCCAGGGUCCAGCCCGGCACACCACAGAACGUGCUCCUUAUAAGCUAGCGGGGGUCACAGUCAAACGCAUACUCUGAAACUAAAUACCUGCCUUCCAGAUUUUCCAAUUGCUCAGUUUGUUCCACUGAACUUUCUCCUUGCGUGCACUUGUGUGUGCAUGUGUGUGUGCACACUUGGCUGUCCACUGCACCUCCCAUCUCUCUACAUGCCCUCGAAUUGCAGUCAUGGGUCUUGCUACACACACAGACUGCAGGAUAAGCUAAGCAGAAAUCCCAAACCAGCAGCCCUGAGGACAAGUCUGGCCCACAGAUGUGUUCUGUU